This 887-nucleotide ribosomal RNA is filed under the name uncultured Methanosaeta sp. Its description in RNAcentral is "bacterial SSU rRNA". It matches the Rfam family "Archaeal small subunit ribosomal RNA", at positions 18 to 906 of the family's 1478-position model. Lineage: Archaea; Methanobacteriati; Methanobacteriota; Methanomicrobia; Methanotrichales; Methanotrichaceae. The record is from RNAcentral.
CAGAGGUUACUGCUAUCGAGAUUCGACUAAGCCAUGCGAGUUGAAUGUUCUUCGUGAACAUGGCGGACUGCUCAGUAACACGUGGACAACCUACCCUUGGGUCCGGCAUAAUCCUGGGAAACUGGGAAUAAUUCCGGAUAGGUCACCGAUGCUGGAAUGCGCGGUGGCCGAAAGCUCCGGCGCCCGAGGAUGGGUCUGCGGCCUAUCAGGGUUGUAGUGGGUGUAACGUACCUACUAGCCUACGACGGGUACGGGUUGUGAGAGCAAGAGCCCGGAGAUGGAUUCUGAGACACGAAUCCAGGCCCUACGGGGUGCAGCAGGCGCGAAAACUUUACAAUGCGGGAAACCGUGAUAAGGGGAUCUCGAGUGCCAGCAUAUAAUGUUGGCUGUCCAGAUGCCUAAAAAGCAUCUGUUAGCAAGGGCCGGGCAAGACCGGUGCCAGCCGCCGCGGUAACACCGGCGGCCCGAGUGGUAACCGCUAUUAUUGGGUCUAAAGGGUCUGUAGCCGGCCAGGUAAGUCCCUUGGGAAAUCUGGCAGCUCAACUGUCAGGCUGCUAGGGGAUACUGUUUGGCUUGGGACCGGGAGAGGUGAGAGGUACCUUGGGGGUAGGGGUGAAAUCUUGUGAUCCUCGAGGGACCACCAGUGGCGAAGGCGUCUCACCAGAACGGGUCCGACGGUAAGGGACGAAAGCUAGGGGCACGAACCGGAUUAGAUACCCGGGUAGUCCUAGCCGUAAACGAUGCUCGCUAGGUGUCAGUCACGGUGCGACCGUGAUUGGUGCCGUAGGGAAGCCGUGAAGCGAGCCACCUGGGAAGUAUGGCCGCAAGGCUGAAACUUAAAGGAAUUGGCGGGGGAGCACUACAWCGGGUGGAGCCUGCGGUUUAUG